This is a long non-coding RNA of Odontomachus brunneus, 423 nucleotides long. RefSeq lists it as uncharacterized. NCBI's taxonomy places the organism in Eukaryota, Metazoa, Arthropoda, Insecta, Hymenoptera, Formicidae. The record is from RefSeq and is a predicted model, not a curated record. The transcript is spliced from 3 exons.
UGCCGACAAUAAGUAUUAAACGUGCAGUAAACGCAAUAUCAGUUUUACUAAAUACUUCAAAAAUAAAGCUGUUAGGUCUAUGGUUGGCUUUCGCCGUAAUUUUUGUUAUGGCGAUCGUGCACACUAACGUGCAAGCAGAAGCAGUAGCAAAAGCCAAUGGCGAUACUGAUGCCAGUAAUCAUAUUCACUAAGUCCGGAAACAUCACAUAAGAUUUGAGAGACGAGGCAAAACACACCACAUUGUACAUGGUUGAGGAUAAAGACAAAGGAAAAACGGCGAUAUACAAAAAUUAUACGGAAGAAAAAUGAAUAAUAUACUGAGAUUAUCAAAAAUUUCAUUUUGAUUGCAUUUACUUGCGACAAUUAUGAUGAUGUUACUUAAACUAGCUUUCUAUUGAAGAAUAAAAUUCUGUGCAAGUGAAA